UGGGGAAUAUUGGACAAUGGGCGCAAGCCUGAUCCAGCCAUGCCGCGUGUGUGAAGAAGGCCUUUUGGUUGUAAAGCACUUUAAGCGAGGAGGAGGCUACUUGGAUUAAUACUCUAGGAUAGUGGACGUUACUCGCAGAAUAAGCACCUGCUAACUCUGUGCCAGCAGCCGCGGUAAUACAGAGGGUGCGAGCGUUAAUCGGAUUUACUGGGCGUAAAGCGUGCGUAGGCGGCUUCUUAAGUCGGAUGUGAAAUCCCUGAGCUUAACUUAGGAAUUGCAUUCGAUACUGGGAAGCUAGAGUAUGGGAGAGGAUGGUAGAAUUCCAGGUGUAGCGGUGAAAUGCGUAGAGAUCUGGAGGAAUACCGAUGGCGAAGGCAGCCAUCUGGCCUAAUACUGACGCUGAGGUACGAAAGCAUGGGGAGCAAACAGG
This 430-nucleotide ribosomal RNA is filed under the name bacterium. Its description in RNAcentral is "partial 16S ribosomal RNA". It matches the Rfam family "Bacterial small subunit ribosomal RNA", at positions 355 to 776 of the family's 1533-position model. The record is from RNAcentral.